This 1032-nucleotide long non-coding RNA is filed under the name Nicotiana benthamiana. Its description in RNAcentral is "long non-coding RNA (NBEN_LNC033967)". The stretch from base 195 to 265 matches the Rfam family "MIR6151 microRNA precursor family". Lineage: Eukaryota; Viridiplantae; Streptophyta; Magnoliopsida; Solanales; Solanaceae. The record is from RNAcentral.
CAAGCGCUUUUCAUCGUCGUUCUCACCCGAAACCAAGCCCCAAAAUUCCGUUCAAAUAUAUGGCGAGUGAGCAUCAACCCCUAACCCACGCGUCCCUCUAUCUCUCCCCUUAUCAUUUCUAACGGUCUCUAAUGGAAGAUUCUUCCUACUCGCUCGAAUUGAGCCUUAUCUUUGAUUGGAGGCUUCUGGAAAGGAUUUGCUGGAUGAGUGUGAGGCGUUGGAUUGAUUUCACUCAAUCCAAGCCCCACAUUCAUUAGGAAUUUGUUUCCAAAAACAAGCUCGAUCAAAUUUUGUGGGGGAAGGGGGCUAAAUUUUUUUAGAGAAAACAGGUCGAAAGGUUUUCUGUAAACAAAGGGAUUUUCCGAGUUGAUUUUCUUUGAUGAGGUCAUUUAAAGUUUAAAAAACAUAGAGACAAAUUUUCUUCUUCUUUUGAAUCCGGAUUUGAGUUCCUGGGAGAUACAAAUCGAAGUUCGAGCUGUUUCUACUGUUGUUCUGCUGAGUCGCUACUGAACCUCGAUAGGAUUCGAAAUCAAAAGGUGUAUUGUCGAGAACAUAGUUAUUAAAAGGAUUUGAAAUUUCAGGUUCGAUUUGUUUCUCUUUUGCAUCUCUGUUAUAAUGUAUUUUGAGUAGUGAGAUUUUGUCCAGAAUGAUGUUUGGUUUUCGGCUUGAUUCUUUUGUGGUUGAAGUGCUUCUCAGUGGUGUGAUGUAUUUGAAUAUUUUCAGUUAGUAGAAGUUGGUUUUAAGUGGUCGUUUUCUAUGAUUUAACUGUUAUUGGGAUGUCGAGUUUCAUUUGAGUCAAGGUUUUGUUGAACGAUGUGUUCAACUUCCGUGAUUGCUAAGCGAGCCUGAAACUAUGACGUUUAUGCUCAGGAUGUUUGCUUCCUGGACUUUGAGUGAUUUAUUCCUGAGAAAUAUUUCUUAUUUGCUAGAAGCUUUGAGUUAGAAUCACUCUCUUUACUUGAACAGUUGGUUUUUUUCUUUGUUUCAAAGUGUUAUUGGACAGAAUUUUGGUCAUGUUGUUAAGGGAUGAUC